UACGGAGGGUGCGAGCGUUGUCCGGAAUCAUUGGGCGUAAAGGGCGCGUAGGUGGCCCGGUCAGCGUGCGGUGAAAGCUCGGGGCUCAACCCCGAGUCGGCCGUGCGAACUGCUGGGCUGGAGCACUGUAGAGGCAGGCGGAAUUCCGGGUGUAGCGGUGGAAUGCGUAGAGAUCCGGAAGAACACCGGUGGCGAAGGCGGCAUCCUGGACCGACAUUGACGCUGAGGAGCGAAAGCUAGGGGAGCAAACGGG
Molecule: ribosomal RNA, 253 nt
Filed under: uncultured bacterium
Lineage: Bacteria
Description: partial 16S ribosomal RNA
Rfam family: Bacterial small subunit ribosomal RNA
Source: RNAcentral